GGUGGGGUGGCUGAGAGUUUAAGCGGUGGAUUGUAAUCCCAUAGACAGAGGUUAAACCCCUCUCCCCACCA
RNAcentral lists this transfer RNA (71 nucleotides) under Percopsis omiscomaycus. RNAcentral's name for it is "tRNA-Tyr". It matches the Rfam family "tRNA". Rfam says of the family: Transfer RNA (tRNA) molecules are approximately 80 nucleotides in length. Their secondary structure includes four short double-helical elements and three loops (D, anti-codon, and T loops). The record is from RNAcentral. Lineage: Eukaryota; Metazoa; Chordata; Actinopteri; Percopsiformes; Percopsidae.